AUGAACGCUGGCGGCGUGCUUAACACAUGCAAGUCGAACGGUGAAGGGGAGCUUGCUUCCUGGAUCAGUGGCGAACGGGUGAGUAACACGUGAGCAAUCUGCCCCUGACUCUGGGAUAAGCGCUGGAAACGGCGUCUAAUACUGGAUACGAGCUGCGAUCGCAUGGUCAGCAGUUGGAAAGAAUUUCGGUCAGGGAUGAGCUCGCGGCCUAUCAGCUUGUUGGUGAGGUAAUGGCUCACCAAGGCGUCGACGGGUAGCCGGCCUGAGAGGGUGACCGGCCACACUGGGACUGAGACACGGCCCAGACUCCUACGGGAGGCAGCAGUGGGGAAUAUUGCACAAUGGGCGCAAGCCUGAUGCAGCAACGCCGCGUGAGGGACGACGGCCUUCGGGUUGUAAACCUCUUUUAGCAGGAAAGAAGCGGAAGUGACGGUACCUGCAGAAAAAGCACCGGCUAACUACGU
Molecule: ribosomal RNA, 464 nt
Filed under: uncultured bacterium
Lineage: Bacteria
Description: bacterial SSU rRNA
Rfam family: Bacterial small subunit ribosomal RNA
Source: RNAcentral